GUGAGGAAUAUUGGUCAAUGGACGCAAGUCUGAACCAGCCAUGCCGCGUGCAGGAUGACGGCUCUAUGAGUUGUAAACUGCUUUUGUACUAGGGUAAACUCACCUACGUGUAGGUGACUGAAAGUAUAGUACGAAUAAGGAUCGGCUAACUCCGUGCCAGCAGCCGCGGUAAUACGGAGGAUUCAAGCGUUAUCCGGAUUUAUUGGGUUUAAAGGGUGCGUAGGCGGUUUGAUAAGUUAGAGGUGAAAUGUUAGGGCUCAACCCUGAAACUGCCUCUAAUACUGUUGGACUAGAGAGUAGUUGCGGUAGGCGGAAUGUAUGGUGUAGCGGUGAAAUGCUUAGAGAUCAUACAGAACACCGAUUGCGAAGGCAGCUUACCAAACUAUAUCUGACGUUGAGGCACGAAAGCGUGGGGAGCAAACAGGAUUAGAAACCCGGGUAGUCC
This 445-nucleotide ribosomal RNA is filed under the name uncultured bacterium. Its description in RNAcentral is "bacterial SSU rRNA". It matches the Rfam family "Bacterial small subunit ribosomal RNA", at positions 354 to 796 of the family's 1533-position model. The record is from RNAcentral.